GGUUGGGUGAGAACGGGACGUUUUGCAUCAUUAUCAAGAAGGGAGCAGUCGAGCGAGUAUCUCCGACACGGUAACAUCUGCAUUCUACGUCGUAAUUAUAUCAGUUCGCAAUCAUGGUUAAUCACGGUGUUGUGUUGCUGUUGGGUGUUGUAUCGUUGAUGUCGACCACGAGAGAAAAUCUUACGAAAGGAAAGAGAAAGGGCAACAGAAGUUAAUCGAGUGAGCACCUCCGACACGACAACAACUGCAUUCUUCGUCGUAUUACCAGGUCGCAAUCAUGGCUGUUGGUUGUUUCGUCGAUGGCUGGGUGGACGGCUGGUGUACCGAUGCCCCUGUGGAUACCAAACCGCAACGCCGCCGCCAAACUACACAACAACAUACGCAACGACCAGUUACUACACCGGGGUUGCGCAAUAUGGUUUACAGUUAAAUCACCAAGGAUGAAGAUUAUUACACCAAAACUUGUGCUGCUCCCCGAUUUACACUACCAAAGUGCUAGAGAACUACACCGAGGCUCCUAAGUACUACACCACCAAGGCACCUGAGACUACGCAACUACGUAUGCUGACCCAACCUACGACACCGAGGCUUCAGCUUAUUACAUACACCACCAAAGCUGUCGAAUACUACACAGGAGCGUCCAAGUACGAUAGAAAUCAGUCGAGUGAGCUUCUCCGACACCCAACACGGCAGCCCUGAAGUUUCGAAUAAACUUCGCUUCAAACAGUGGAACGACAAACAGUGAAGACGAAUACUACUGUAAUCGCGUCGAAUUGAAAAGCAAAGAUAACACAUUCGUACGUGUACACCGCGUCGUUAAACUUGACAUUGUUGGUCGGAAAGCCGAACUUGACGAUGGCCGUACCAUCACCUACGACGAGUGCGUUAUUGCCACAAGUGAUAGACGAAAAUCUUUUCCAAUCCCUGAGCGGUACCCUUAAAGAUGCCCACGAGCACGUAACGCUGUUCCGCAACAUCGAUGGCGGUAACAUAGGCCGAGUUCUCCCUUAAUAUUUGAGCCAAUGGACAACCGAGAAGGUGAAAGCGCAAGGUGUUAAUGUGUUGCCCAAAGCCUAAUGUUGAAGGUGCAAUUUUGAAAGACUACAAGGUCGCAUGGACCUUAAACGAUGGUCAAAAGAAUUCAUUUAAGCAGAUUGAAACUGACCAUUUCGUCGCUGUUAUCGGUUGGGACGCAAACACGGAUUUGGCUGUCGCUUCUGGUUUGGAAAUAUAUUCCAAUUUUGGUGGUUAUCGAGUCAAUGCUGAGCUUGAAGCCCGACCAAACGUCUGGCUGGAGAUGUUGCGUUCUUUUGUGAUAUCAAAUUGGUUCGUCGUCGUAUGGAUUAUCAUCACCAUACUGUUGUAUAAGGUCGGUUGGCUGGAGAGAACAAAACUGGCAACGAAACAUGGAUGAACAACUGCGUGCACUGUCACCAAGUGCAUUCUUCGUCGGAUUAUCAGUACGCAAUUGGGCUGGGUCGAUCACUAGUGUACUGAUGUCUCCUGGGUAUGGCGGAUACCAAAGCACCACGCCGCCGCCUUCACAAAACGCCGCCUUUACUAUACAACGACAACAUUCGCACCAACCGGUUACUACACCACCAAGGCUGCAGAGUAUUACACCGCAGCUAAUGCUGCCCCGAGCUAAAUCACCAAAGAUCCUGAGUACUACACCACCAAGUCACCGGAGUACUACACCACCAAGUCACCGGAGUACUACACCGCGGCUCCAACUUAGUACACCACCAUGGCUCCAGAGUAUUACACCACAACUUGUGCUUCCCCAAGCCACUACACCGAAGCCCCGAAGUAUUACUCUGCCCCAAGCUACACAACUACAACUGAGACGGCCAAGUAUUACGCAGUCCCGACUAACUACACAGCGGCUGCUCCUUCGUACUACGUUGAACCGGAAUACUACACCGAGGCUCCAGUUUACUACACCACAACCUACGCUACACCUAGCUACUACACCGAGACCCCUAAGUACUACACCACUAAGGCACCUGAACAUUACACCACACCCUACGAUUCUCCAACUUACUACAGGGACGCUCCUAAAUACUACAGUCGAAUUUUCAAUUAUAAUAACUAUGUUCAGAUUUGUCGGUCACAUCUUAAUAGUUACUAGUCACUGAGAAGUGUUGAUCUUUAAUGAGAAAAUAUUUUUUUUACCUGGGUAAUCAUUGUGUACGACUUGUCUUGCCACCUAAAAGCACCUAAACAUUGCGACGUUUCUGAUUUUUGUUGGAUCUUUCCUAUUUCGCAUGUGUUAUGUACGCGUCUAAGAGACUUAACAGCAUGUUGUAGAUUAUUGCUCUAGUCGCUCUGCAUUCCGGCAUGUUUUAGUGUUUGGGCGAACUCCAUUUACAGGGCAAGUUACGAAAGAAACGUAUUGUGGUGUUUACUAAAAUUUUUUGAUGUUAAUAGUUCUGUUUUUAACUGAAGUUGGCGUAACAAGAGUUGCAGAUAGUGUUUGUUUUCAUAGAAGUUUAUUUGAAGGGUUUGGAGUUGAUCAGUCACUUGCCUAUAACUUAUGUAAAACUUUAAAGUUGUAAAAAAUAAACAAGUCGUGAACUAAA
RNAcentral lists this long non-coding RNA (2582 nucleotides) under Daphnia pulex (common water flea). Its description in RNAcentral is "uncharacterized LOC124208268, transcript variant X2". The record is from RNAcentral. Lineage: Eukaryota; Metazoa; Arthropoda; Branchiopoda; Diplostraca; Daphniidae.